This 496-nucleotide ribosomal RNA is filed under the name uncultured bacterium. RNAcentral's name for it is "partial 16S ribosomal RNA". It matches the Rfam family "Bacterial small subunit ribosomal RNA", at positions 29 to 507 of the family's 1533-position model. The record is from RNAcentral.
AUGAACGCUGGCGGCGUGCCUAAUACAUGCAAGUCGAGCGAACAGACGAGGAGCUUGCUCCUCUGACGUUAGCGGCGGACGGGUGAGUAACACGUGGAUAACCUACCUAUAAGACUGGGAUAACUUCGGGAAACCGGAGCUAAUACCGGAUAAUAUAUUGAACCGCAUGGUUCAAUAGUGAAAGACGGUUUUGCUGUCACUUAUAGAUGGAUCCGCGCCGCAUUAGCUAGUUGGUAAGGUAACGGCUUACCAAGGCAACGAUGCGUAGCCGACCUGAGAGGGUGAUCGGCCACACUGAAACUGAGACACGGUCCAGACUCCUACGGGAGGCAGCAGUAGGGAAUCUUCCGCAAUGGGCGAAAGCCUGACGGAGCAACGCCGCGUGAGUGAUGAAGGUCUUCGGAUCGUAAAACUCUGUUAUUAGGGAAGAACAAAUGUGUAAGUAACUAUGCACGUCUUGACGGUACCUAAUCAGAAAGCCACGGCUAACUACGUG